GCAUGCGAUCAUACCAGCACUAAAGCACAGGAUCCCAUCAGAACUCCGAAGUUAAGCGUGCUUGGGCGAGGGUAGUACUAGGAUGGGUGACCUCCUGGGAAGUCCUCGUGUUGCAUUCC
This 119-nucleotide ribosomal RNA is filed under the name Aegilops tauschii subsp. strangulata. The record is from RNAcentral. Lineage: Eukaryota; Viridiplantae; Streptophyta; Magnoliopsida; Poales; Poaceae.